AUUGAACGCUGGCGGCAGGCCUAACACAUGCAAGUCGAACGGUAGCACAGAGAGCUUGCUCUCGGGUGACGAGUGGCGGACGGGUGAGUAAUGUCUGGGAAACUGCCUGAUGGAGGGGGAUAACUACUGGAAACGGUAGCUAAUACCGCAUAACGUCGCAAGACCAAAGAGGGGGACCUUCGGGCCUCUUGCCAUCGGAUGUGCCCAGAUGGGAUUAGCUAGUAGGUGGGGUAAUGGCUCACCUAGGCGACGAUCCCUAGCUGGUCUGAGAGGAGGACCAGCCAACCUGGAACUGAGACACGGUCCAGACUCCUACGGGAGGCAGCAGUGGGGAAUAUUGAACAAUGGGGGAAAGCCUGAUGAGGCCAUGCCGCGUGUAUGAAGAAGGCCUUCGGGUUGUAAAGUACUUUCAGCGAGGAGGAAGGUGUUGAGGUUAAUAACCUCAGCAAUUGACGUUACUCGCAGAAGAAGCACCGGCUAACUCCGUGCCAGCCGCCGCCGUAA
This 504-nucleotide ribosomal RNA is filed under the name uncultured bacterium. Its description in RNAcentral is "partial 16S ribosomal RNA". It matches the Rfam family "Bacterial small subunit ribosomal RNA", at positions 30 to 523 of the family's 1533-position model. The record is from RNAcentral.